AAGAGAUGCACAGCUGGGCUUUCAGGCACGUAUUUCAUUUAGUCAUCAUGACAACUCUAUGACAGAUGGCUUACUAACAUUACCAUUUAAUGGUAGAAACUGAAACAAUGUGAUAAUGCCGGUGCUCACGUGGCUACAGUGGCCACAGUUCAAGCUCAGAGUCAUUUAUUUCUAAGUCCUUUGCUCAGGUCACUCUUCUAAACUCCUGGAGCAUCGCUCUGAACUUUUUGCUACCUCAGUGUUUCCCACUGGGUCUGAAGUUAGCCUACUGGCCAGCAAGCCCUAGCUACCCUCUUGACUCCACCUCUCUGGGAUUACAGACCAGCAGGAACUAACUAACAUGUUACUUGCAUUUAAUUCACUUGAAACAUAUAUUUUAUUAUUUUUUUUGUGUGUGUUUUGCUCUAAGAAGAAACAGAAUAAAAUAAGUUAAACCAAGCCAGAGCUGAGCUGAGUGGCUCAGCUGGCAGGCACGCAGCAGCUGCACCUACAGCUCUCCUGUAAAGAUUUGGAUCUGAAGCCAGUAUUUGUAAUCAAGGCGAAGAGCCCAAUAAAAGGAUGGUUUUGGACAAAAUAUCUCAUUUUCUUUAAGCACA
RNAcentral lists this long non-coding RNA (596 nucleotides) under Cricetulus griseus (Chinese hamster). Its description in RNAcentral is "lncRNA (ENSCGRG00015035226.1)". The record is from RNAcentral. Lineage: Eukaryota; Metazoa; Chordata; Mammalia; Rodentia; Cricetidae.